Molecule: transfer RNA, 67 nt
Filed under: Compsilura concinnata
Lineage: Eukaryota; Metazoa; Arthropoda; Insecta; Diptera; Tachinidae
Description: tRNA-Ser
Source: RNAcentral
AGUUAAUGAGCUUGAAUAAGCAUAUAUUUUGAACAUAUAAGAUAGAAAUUAAAUUUUCUAUUAACUU